Molecule: long non-coding RNA, 1213 nt
Filed under: Homo sapiens (human)
Lineage: Eukaryota; Metazoa; Chordata; Mammalia; Primates; Hominidae
Description: HSALNT0186995
Source: RNAcentral
ACCCUACUGGAAUACUACACUAUGAGUUGCUUGACAGCAGCUUAUUCAUAUUAUCUUCAACUCCUAUCUCAGGAGUCUUGUAUAAGACGCUUAGGCACUCACCAAAUUCUUAUUGAAUGAAUGAGUGAGUCAAUGAACAAAAGAACGAAAACAGAUGGAAUGACAUAUAUGAAAGUACUUUAUAAAUUGUGAAUUGCUGUGUGGGAGUUAGUUAUUAUUGGCCUGAUCUAUAAUUUUCACAAUUUUGCAUAAAAAUUCUUUUAGAAGAUAGAGGUAACUUUCUAGAGAGAAAACUUCAAAGUUUAGGUUGAAAGAGAGAGUAAAUGACAUGGUUAUGUCUACAUUUGAAAAUAAUUUGAGGAAGAUAAAAAUACUUGAAUGUGAAUUGUUAGGCUAUGUAGAACUGCCUUUUAACCUUUUAAAAAUAGAUAAUACAUGAACACAAUAUAAAAAUUCAAAAGGUAAAAUAGGAGAUUCAUUGCCCAAUCUCCUAGUUUCUUUCACUUACGUUACCAGAAUAUUCAGAUACGUUCUAUGUUUUUAUAGACGAAUAUGUAUACAAGAAGCUGCCUUUCAAAAGAGAAAAAGAGAAAGGACUGUUUUCAGCUAGUACGUGGUCGAUGAGUAUAAAAUAAAAUGAUAUGAGAAAUAAAAACUUAGUUCUCCAAUUUUCAUUUACUUGGGAGUUGUUUUCCCAUUCAAGGGAUUAUUGUAAUAAGCUUUGUUUUAAGGUUUUAUUGUUUAGCAACAUUGUGAAAACAUCUCUAUGUCUUCUGUUCCUCAUUCUUUUUUAAAUACAAGAUUUUAUUUCUUCAAAUCCUAUCCUUGCUUUUUGACUACACUCAUAAACUGAGCACUACACACAGCUACUCUGGUACUUACCCAUUGGGAGAAGGAACCAAGCUUCCCCUCACCUCAUUCCCAGCCAGCACAUGAAGGGUAAAGAUGAAAGCUGUUUGUGUUUGCUGAAAACAGAGAACCCCAGAUACAAGCACCAUGAUUUGGUAAUUUCCUCCCUCAUCUUCUAAGGGCAGUCCUUGCAAGGUCUUGGUGGGAGAAUGAUAUUCCAGCCAUCUUGGCAGUUUGACAUCAUGAACUAGGGUAACCUGUUCAGGUAUACACGAAACAUAAAGUCUGAACUUGCCUUUAGGAAGAGGUUUGAAACUUGCUUGCUCUGUCUCUGUGGCAGCGCAUUAAUACUAAGAGUUAGCCA